UGUGUGUGUAACAGCUUGGACUUAACAAGUCAGAAGAUCUGUAGCAUAAUUGAUUAUUGUGACACGGCUUCCAGAGGAGUCUUACAUCCAAAAGAACAGCCCACAUCACUCGAGUUCUUUAAUCCCCAAGAAUUACUUUACAAAAAGCCCCAAAAGUGCCUAAAAAUAUGCAAUUAAAUACUAUUUACAGUGGAACAUUGUAUCUUUUCUAUAUAUUAUAUAUAACUAUAUUUACCGGACAACGAGAUGCUUCUGACGGCAGAUUGAUAGUCGACUCACAAAGUCAACAAUAGUUAAGUUAUCAUUAACUGUUAUUCAUUGAACGACAGCUAUAGCACAGUGCUGAUGAAGUGACCUGUGGGGACGACGUCAUCAGAACGAUGAGCUCAGUGCAGAGCGGCCGGCGGGACACACGAGCAGCAAUUAACCCACCAUGUGUGAAGAAGAUGGGAUGGUUCUCGUGAUACUUGAAUAACACACACACACAGGCAGAAAGACGGAUUCCUUGCUUUAAGUUUGUUUUUGUUGCUUUUUUAGGUUUCUUUUGGGCUGCGUUGUCGUUCAUCAUGAGACUGUGGCCAACAUUUUUUAAUAAUGACAAAAACAUCAUUAUCAACAAUUGUAUUUAACAAAAGCAAAGAAUACUGCCUUUUUGUAAACAAUAAACAGGAAUCAUCUGAGUGGCAA
Molecule: long non-coding RNA, 687 nt
Organism: Pseudoliparis swirei
Lineage: Eukaryota; Metazoa; Chordata; Actinopteri; Perciformes; Liparidae
Exons: 2
Source: RefSeq, a predicted model, not a curated record